Anguilla rostrata (American eel) is the source of this 1318-nucleotide long non-coding RNA. RefSeq lists it as uncharacterized. Lineage: Eukaryota; Metazoa; Chordata; Actinopteri; Anguilliformes; Anguillidae. The record is from RefSeq and is a predicted model, not a curated record. The transcript is spliced from 4 exons.
UAAUAAUAAUAAUAAUAAUAAUAUUCUUAUUCGCUCCUCAAAACUCAGUUAUUUUAAGAUGUAGCUCGAUCAUAACUCGCUGAAAAGACAUACCAAGCCCUAGCUUGGAGUGAACAACAGCACUGGCAAUUAAAUUACAAGCCCCUCCCUUUUUAUAUUUUACUGUUGUCAACGGAACAGGUAUGAGGUCUAACGAUAAUGAGGCUAUAUUAGUAUUUACUGAUGGAGUGUGGUUACGGAUUUCAUUUUAAGACCAUUUGCAAAGAGAUGACAGCGUUCAGUUCAGAAGAGAUAUUAACGUUACCCCUCCAUGAAAAAUACGGAAGAGUUUAAUUGAACGCUACCCGAAGCUGCUAUAACAGAACACGAUCCAAAGCUCAAAGACUCGUUGGAGGCCCCCGCCUCCGCAGAAGCCGCCGCCUCCAAGCCCCCCGCCUCGAACCCGUGCUCCCCGCCCAUCCCGUCCGCCUCCAUCUUGACCGUGUCGGGCAGGAAGCUGGAGUAGGCGUCGCCCUCCGCCAUCAGCAGCUUCAGCUUGGGGAUCCAGCUCUUCCGCACCACGCGCCGCGCGUUGGUGCACAUGUCCGCCGCGAUGGCGUUCAUCUCGCUCUCCUUGAAGCUCGUGGCGAAGUUCUGACAGUAGACUGCGAGGUGAAGAGCAAAGAACGAGAGAGAGAGAGAGAGCCAGAGAGAGAGACAGAGAGAGAGAGAGAGAGAGAGAGAGAGAGAGAGAGCCAGAGAGAGAGACAGAGAGAGAGAGAGAGAGAGAGAGAGAGACAGAGAGAGAGUCAACUGCACAAUCACCAGAAAACAAAGCAAGUUAUUGGGUAAGAGGCGCUAGCACUUGACUCGAGUUCAGGACCGUCUCUCUACGGUCUGUGCACUGUGUCUAAGCAGCUUGUGUGUGUGUGUGUACCCUACUCAGCCGUAUUCAGUGGGCUUAGCAUCCACACGUUAUUCUUGAAUGCCUUUUUCAAGGUAACAGCAGAGCUGCGUAAUGAUGCCGCCGCGCGUGCGUGUGUGCAUGUCUGCGCAGGCCUGCGCGUGCCCACGCGCGUUUCCAUGGCGUGCUUCGGUGCAGCGCUGACGCGCGCGGCGUUCGGGAGGCCCACUCACACUUGACUGCGUGCAGCACUCUGCUGUCCAGCGGCUUGCGGCUCGGGUCAUUGGUGGAGGAGCGGAUCCCUGUGCCGCAGCUGUUGGCCAGAGUGUUCCUGUGGGACGGACAGCAGGCAGCCAUUCAUUGUGAGCACAGGCGAGACGCUGAGCGCAGAGUUAUCGAGGGCAAACACUUUCCCAGGGGAUGCGGAACGCAGAG